GACGAACGCUGGCGGCGUGCUUAACACAUGCAAGUCGAACGGAAAGGCCCCGCUUUUGUGGGGUGCUCGAGUGGCGAACGGGUGAGUAACACGUGAGUAACCUGCCCUUGACUUUGGGAUAACUUCAGGAAACUGGGGCUAAUACCGGAUAGGAGCUCCUGCUGCAUGGUGGGGGUUGGAAAGUUUCGGCGGUUGGGGAUGGACUCGCGGCUUAUCAGCUUGUUGGUGGGGUAGUGGCUUACCAAGGCUUUGACGGGUAGCCGGCCUGAGAGGGUGACCGGCCACAUUGGGACUGAGAUACGGCCCAGACUCCUACGGGAGGCAGCAGUGGGGAAUAUUGCACAAUGGGCGGAAGCCUGAUGCAGCAACGCCGCGUACGGGAUGACGGCCUUCGGGUUGUAAACCGCUUUCGCCUGUGACGAAGCGUGAGUGACGGUAAUGGGUAAAGAAGCACCGGCUAACUACGUG
This 468-nucleotide ribosomal RNA is filed under the name uncultured bacterium. Its description in RNAcentral is "partial 16S ribosomal RNA". It matches the Rfam family "Bacterial small subunit ribosomal RNA", at positions 28 to 507 of the family's 1533-position model. The record is from RNAcentral.